UACAAGUUAAAUCAUUUUUCAAUUACUUUGUAUUCUCAAUUUUAGUUAGAUAGUAGUCUAUGAAGUACGGACACUCUUCGAAUAAGCCGUGUCCCUCUGUCGGACACUUGUUGUGUGUUGUUCGACACGACAAACAUAAUUACACUGAAUUUUAUGAUUUUCUUAAAUUAUUAACUGUGUCGGUGUGUCAAUGUCUGGUGUGUCAAUGUCUGUGUCGUGUCCGGUAUCCGUGUCCGUAUCCGUGCUUCAUAGGUAGUAGUAAAUGCUAAUUAAACCUAGUCAUGGUAAUUCAUGAAUAUAGUUAAUUAACUCAUAAAUAAAGCUCAAAAGCAUUCUUUAGUUAGUGUAAAUAAUAAUGAUGUCAAUGGUGUAUCUGAUAAUGAACUGUAAUCCCUGAUGGUCAGGCAUUUGUAUGUACUGCAAGACACACUACCCUGUGUAACUCAUCAGCUAUGUCUGUACCAUGGUGGAACUUUUGUGUACUAUCAUGAAUCAUUAAAUAUGCUUUAGUUUACUUCUUGGAUAUUUGGGGUCACAUGAUUAUUUUUCUCCUUUAUCUUUUUCUUUAGAAUCUAGAUUUCGAUCUUCGUUUUAUUCUUGAGUACUGAAGAAAAUAAAUCUCUUACUAUAUAUAAAGAUAUCUCAGAUGUUUGGACAUGACCCGUUUUAACUUUUACAUGAUGUGUGUCUUCUGUCAUAUGCAUUAUGCAAUAUUUGUUGCUCAUGUCAGUCAUUUUGAUUUUGAUACUUGUGUGUGCUGGUAAAUCUAGUACUUAACCAAGUGGCGUAUGUGCUGGUUCCUAUUUGAUGCAAGUGUAUAUGAACAUCAGUUACACUGCUUCUUUUGUUGUAAACCGAGGAUCGAGGGUUCAUAAGUCAUAACUGUCUUAGUCACACUCGGUCCUCGGAUAUGAUCACGUGGACCGGAAAAAAUGUCUUUAAGAGAUUCAAAUUCAAGACCUCUGGUUAAAUUUGUGUAAUCUCAUUACUACAAAGAAUAACUGGUGUCAUCGACACGUCCAAAGGUGGUCAAUAAUGAAGGAAAAUCAUUGGUAAUAAAAGCACUGUUGGAUGAUAUCAGUUCCACUUGGUACGUCCAAAAGUGGUUAAUAAUGAAGGAUAUGCUUUAUAUUCUUCAUAUUUUAAAGAACAGAAUAUUGUAUCAAAGUAAAAUAAAGGAAAUUAAACUUUUGACAAAAAAAAAGGGGAAUUAAGAUUGUGUUUUCUUUUACUUUUUUGGUCUUGGUAUUGUUUGGUUAAUUUUACACGACGAUCUGUAAUCUGCUGCUGCUUUAAUACUUCAUAAAAUGAGCUAGUUCUAC
Molecule: long non-coding RNA, 1322 nt
Filed under: Medicago truncatula (barrel medic)
Lineage: Eukaryota; Viridiplantae; Streptophyta; Magnoliopsida; Fabales; Fabaceae
Description: lncRNA gene32462
Source: RNAcentral